Molecule: long non-coding RNA, 6569 nt
Organism: Gallus gallus (chicken)
Lineage: Eukaryota; Metazoa; Chordata; Aves; Galliformes; Phasianidae
Exons: 4
Source: RefSeq, a predicted model, not a curated record
GCCACUAGGGGAAUGCACGGGUGUGAUUUACAGCCGGGGAUGAGCUGUGUAACUUCACCGUGCCAGCAUGCGGCUGGCAAAGCCUCAACACCAUGAGACCCCCAGUGCUGUAGGGUGAGGAGGGGGCUGCAUCCACGCCCCUGGCUCUACAGGGCUCAAAUGGCUCCCAAGAGGAAAAGAAAGGCAAUAGGGUGAGAUCAAGACGGUUGUGAGCAGGAGCAGGGUGCUGUGGCGAGGUGCCCGGUGUCCCAGGAGGAAGCCAAGAUUGAAAGUGAGAGGGAACCGGAGCCGGGACAGGUGACCCAGUUUGGGUGAAACAGGAACCGGCUGGCACCUCCUCCCAAAGACAUCCUGGCCAUGCUCGGCCCCCCUCAACUCACCAUAAUUUAUGAAGCAGAGGGUACCUAAUCCCAAACAGCCCUUUCACAUCUCAGUUUGAGAGCUGUCCCGUACCCACUGGAGCUGUGACACGGCACUGACAUUUUCCUUCUGCCUCUCUGUGUUGCAUACAACCGCCAAUGGCUUCACUUCUUUUCUUCCUACAAUGAGCGGCUGGGUGCAAGCUGCCCUCUCUUCCUCCCCAAACCAGCUCUCAAAGCCAGAUUUUGUGUCAGGCUUUCCAAAAGCCAGAACAAGCCUCUAGUUGUCAAAAAAAUGAAACCAAGAACCAAAUUGCACAUGAUGGCUUUGCAGAACCGUGAAUAAAUAACAGGCAGAUUCCUACCAAAGUGAAGAGUUUCUGCACAACAACUCAGUUUGCUUUAAGUUUUGUGCAAGAUGCCACACAACUCCCCCAUUGUGGGUGCCCUGGAGGUGCCCAAGGAUAGGCUGGAUGGGGCCCUGAUCUGGUGGGGGGCAGCCAACCCACUGCAGAACUGGAUGAUCUAAAAAGUCACUUCCAACCCAGCCAUUUUGUGCUUCUAUGAUCCCAUGAGAUAGGGGCUGCUCAACCUCUUCCAUUUCCUCAAGUGCUCAUAUGUUCAUCCCUGUUCUGGGUGCAGAAAUCAGUGCGAGGGUCUCGGUAGCUGAUCUGCCUCCAUGAGUUGUCAGAAAGAGGGAGAACUGUGGAAUAAGGAAAUGUUGGGAGUGUUUGGUUUCACUGCAGCAGAUGGGAAAGGAAAUUAAUAUGAGGAAUUUGGGAAUGUACACCGGAACCUUGCCUGGACCCACCACCCAUCUGGGCUGCCCUACAUCCAUCCCUCUUUCCAUGGAUCUCCCCUGAAUGCCCAUUCAUCUGCGUGUCCUCCCCUUCCUGCUCGCGGUAAUCGUUGGCACUGGGUGCUGUGCAGAGCAAUCCAGCUGCAGGACACAGCAUCUGUUGGUACCGGCGUUCUCCCAGUGCACCUCUCUCUUUGCUUUCUCUUUCCCCUGCACAGCUCAUGUCGGUCUGUAGACUACACAACGCCACUGGAGGCUAAGCCAGAUGCUUUUCCAGGCAGGAAAAGCUGCGCUUCCAGGAACCUCAUAGGGAAAAGAAAUGGCUUAAUGCUCAAAUACCUCCCCACCAUGUCGACACCUUCCUCCCCCCGACCCGGUGCGUUGCAGCGAGCAGCAGGGGACCCCAGGGAGCUCUGCUCCAGCUGCACGCUCAUCAGCCAGACGGGGAGCGCUCCGCGGUGCCUCACCACUGACGCUCACUGCGGUUAAUCACACAUCUGUGGGCUCCAACGGGCUCAGCCGGCGCGGGGAGGGACGCGCCAGGUAGCAGCAGGUGACAGAAGUUGCUGAUUCUGGUUAAAGUGUGAAAAACGGAUGAGGGAAGGAAGGGAGGGAGGCAGUGUUCUGGGAAGAGGGAAGUAUCUUCUUGUGUGUGUAUAUGUGGAUAUGCAGACCUUCAUCCCUCCUUGGUCACUGCAGAGUGCUCACACCUCCUGGUCCACCUGGAGGUUGCAGGAGCAACGAAGGUGAGUGGUGUCUUAAGCUCAGGGCUGGGAAAUGAGGCGUUUGGAGCUUCUGCUGUCAGCCGUGGCGGAACUGAAUGGCACAAAGGUGGCACAAGGUCCCAGGUUGCCCUCCUCCCACCCCAGCCAUGCUGUGCCGCAGGGCAGAGGACAGGUGGGGGCUGAGGCAGGCUCUGCUCUGCAGCAUGGCACAGCCCAGGGCCACAUUUGACUCUCUCAGCAGGAGGGAGGCGGGUGAGGUAACGGCUGCUCUUUGGGAGCGUGAGCAUCCAUCUGGCAUGCUGAGGGCGCAGGGGGUUGGCACCCAGGACCUGGCGCUGCCACCACGUGUCUAUGGAAGCGCCAAGACUGAGCUCUGCCUGGGAAGGAAAGCUUGUCCUUGCUGCUGACCUUGGGGCUGAGCCAUUCCUGCGGAGCACGCAGCAUCCCCAGGCACUCAGCACUCUUGGAGCACACAGCAUCCCUGGAACAUACAGCACUGCGGGACGUGGUGCGUCCCUGGAACACACAGCAUCCUCAGAGAUAGAGAAUCGCUGGAGCACUCAGCAUCCCUGGAGCACACAGCAUCCCUGUACAUGCAGCAUCCCAAAGUCCCUCUGCCCUGCUGCAGCUUUCCACACAGGAGAAAUGCAACAGCAAGACAUGAGGCAUGGGGCUGAGCAGCCACGGAGAAGGCGUUCCAAUGGGAGCAGAGCACAGUUGGUAGCUCUCUGUAAACCCUACCAAAACUCAGCGGGGAACUGAAGAGUAUUUAUCCUUUUCCUCUGCUCUUCCCCACCUCUCCAGUGACUCACCCUCACUUUUCCUUUGCAACACUGGUCAUUUUUAUUUCUCUCUGCUGUGGUUUGAUAAACAGACCUCAGCCUUCACGGAGACUGAAUCCUUGUUAUUCUCCUCAAUGGACCCCACAAACAGGAGAUGACUGCACCCCGUGGGUGCCAGCGCACCCUGCAGACAUGGGAGCUCGCUGCAAGGUGUGUCCUUGGGAGAAGGCAGCAGGGAUGCUGAAAUAACCUCUGUGUUAGUGCUGACAGAUGCACAGUUAAUGGUCUGUCUUCUUAAUGGGUGUCACUUUUGGAUCUAAAAACCCAAACUGGUGAACAGAAAUCCCCUUGUGCUGAAGUAACCAGGCAUGAGUGCCAAUCCUGGCAGAGGAUGAGGUUUGUGCUUGGAGCUUUAGGAGCCCUUGGAGCACCACCCUUUUCUGAAGGUGUAUUUAUACCAUCGGGGCUUACCUGCAGCCCCACAACCUCUCUGCCCAAGCGUGGAGGGUCCAAGGCUACUCCUCCCCACAUGAAUUCUUUGGGCAGGGAUGGAGAGAGCCGGAUGAUGACAUGAUGCGCAAGCAUGGACAGGAUGCUCUGCUUCCAGCAUCACUCACUCCCUCCCCCCAAAAAUGGGAUGGAGGCUGGGUUUCCCCCAGCAGCACCAAAAAGCAGCGCUGUGGGGCUGACUCACACCCACCCCCGGCUACCACAUCUCCCACGCCGCUGCUCCCAGCUUCUCCCUACUGAAGAAUUAUGUAGCAUGAAGAAGCAGGCUCCACCAUCUUGAACUGGCAGUGAACUUUGCUUUCUACAUAUAAAUACAGAUAGCAAUCACACCCCAAUCAGCACACAAGCUUCAGGGCAUCAUCACAGCAACUCUAACUUUCCCAUUACGAUAAUGUGAUUUUCACUCAGUCUAUAAUAUCACCAGCCAUGAAUAAAACAACUGGCUUUUCCUCUCUCUUCCCCCUCCCUGCCUCUCUCCUUCUCUCUCCCCCUCUCUCAGCUCACAGUCUUUGCAUACUAAUGCUGGCUGAGCAUGGCUUCAUGGUGCGAUCCAUGAUGGAUUUGGGAGCCCAGCCCCUGGGUGGAUCCCUGUUCCCCAUGCACGUGCCUUCAGCCCUCUUUCAGCAUCCUGGGUGCAUGUAUCCUGGCUGGCAACUGCCUUCUUGCCCCUUCUGCAUCACAUACCCAGAGCAGGUCCCAGCAAAUGCCCCGUGCCCAUUGUGUAAGUGUUGGUACCAUGCUGAAUGAGGAUGACAUGGAAGGGAGCGAUCCCAUAUGUGGGAAUGCAAACAACGUACAUUAAUUUGACUUUAUUUCUCAUUUUUGUCCAAGCCCACAGUAAGCCAGGAGCAGGUUUUUGCUUUGCAGAACACACUGUUGUGAUCCAGCCAAACUGGAUGUUCUCACAUCUUCCCCCCACGUGGCCUCUGCUGACAAAGUUUUGGGUAGAAGUCUUUCACGUGAGGACACCAAUGGCUUUGGAGAACUGAGAUUGUCCAGCCCCAGACUCCCUGCUGGAGCUGAGCGCUGCUCCUUUAACUCUCUUGGUGAAGGCUGUUAUCUCAGGGUGAGUAAUUAAUUCUCCUGAACAUCAGCAGCUGGCCCUGGGUGGGAGCUGCGCUGGGGAGAACAGGCAGAGCAGAGGAUUGGGUUAUAGGAUGCAAGAACACCUGUUCCUGCCUCUCGCUUUCUCCCUAAAACCUAUAAAGUGGGAAAGGGAGGAGGCAGCUGCCUGGGCUCCCUGCUCCAGGGCUAUGUGUGGAUGGAUGGAGCUUUUGCAGGCUGAAGGGAUGCAUCAAGUGCUGGGAGUGGCAGAGGGGAGGUUAGGGCUUCCCUUUCCCUGCAGCUCAGCCUUCUUCUGUGCUUCACUGUGCCUGCAGGAGCAGAGCUGCUGGCUUCAUUUGCUGCAGUGCGGUUGCAGUUGCCCCGGGCUCUUCUUGCUCGGGGGCUAGAGAUGGUUCCCUUGCCUUUCCCCUUGUAAAUAGAGAGCAGAGGCACUCCAAAAGCUGGCAGCACUCUGCCCGCUGAUCCCUCCGUGGAGCUCUCCUUGCACAGCAGGGGAUGUGUGCCCUGAUGGGUGACAGAGGUAUCUGAAAUGGAUGGGGCUGCGUUGGAGGUACCUGCCGGCAGGGCUACCUGGGAGACGCUCCUAUCUGUCAUCUGAUUUAUCCAGGUUAAAAGGCUGCAAUCAGUCACCAAGGUAGAUUCAUUCCCCAGUAAAUAGUGCCCGGGGGCUUCCAGGACCUAUUUUACUGCUAAGCACUCUCUUUCCAAUGCUUGAAUACCUCUGUUCCCAGUGGAGCCGUUGCUGGCUGAUAUAUAUAUGAUAUGGGGAGUCCUGGUGACUUUUUUAUUCUUGCUCUGCACAGCUCCUGGCCUCGUCUCGGCUGCGGUGGGCUGCACGAUGGAUGAUGUGUUUGAGGCUUUCCAUGUCUGGGGGCAGAUUGGGGCGAGAUGGCGCCGGGAGACCUGCGUGGUGGAGCCUGGUGCUGGGACAGCGAGGGAGGACAGGGUGCAUAGAGGCUGGAGCAAUGGAGAAUGUUAGGGACGAGUGCAGGGCUGAUGGGCAGUGAGGAUCAAUAGGUCUUUGUCGCCUGCAGUUUUGCUCUUGAACCUGUACUCGGGUGCAGAAUGGAUUAGAGCAACCAGGCAGCCCACCACUAACACUGACUGCAACCUCCAACUGUUGUGUGCCUCAACAUCUCGACCGUUGGAGGGCACUGCUCUGAUGCUCCCUGUAAAUGGAUUGCUGCUGGGAGGAACUAGGAGCCAAAAAAGGUGUUCCCAAUGAUCUCUGCUGCUUGUCUGGAGCCUUUCUUCUGGUCCCUGUGACCUCCUGGCAAUGUCGCCUUAGGCAGUGAUGCUGAGCCCAUGAUCCCAUGAUGAUGCUCUCGCCUUCACCACGGGCCAGGUGACCUCAUCAACACUGCUGUCCCAAGGACAGACUGCCAGAAGAUGCUGCAGGCACUGGAGGAUGCAUCCCUAGAGGAGCAGGAGCCCUCCAGGUCCAUGCUCAGGGCUCCAGGUUGGCACCCCAUGGUGGGGCCAGGAGGCCCUGGUGCUGUAAAGAUGUAUAGCUUUUCACCUGGCUCCUGUGUAAUUAGCAGCUGCCCAUUGCUGGGAAGGACUGGGCUCAUCCUUCCCUGCCCUGGAGAGCGGUACCUGCUUACCCUCGUGGCAGCUCUGCUGUUUGUCUAGGGGCAAGGAGAGUCAGUCUGGCUCAGCAGCCAAGAGCUGCUUCAUUGGUAUGUCCUGAUUAUCGUUCUUCUGCCACGAUAGCAAAUAAAAUAGUGAACAAAUGAGCAUCAGAGCGGGCAGAGGAUGAGAAGCACGUGACUGGGCAGAGAGAGGAGAUGCAAGUGAUGGGUAUUGCCUUGUUCCAGCCAUGUAGUGAACAUAAAUCAUACCACACGAUCUUGGGCUCUCUUCUCUCCCGCUUGCACGAAUGACUGCCUGUCUUCUUUAUUUCCAGGCUGCAGGGAGGCAACCUGGCCCUAAGUCUCCCAGGCACUGUCCCAACUAGUCCCUGCACAAAGCACACAGACAUCAUGGAUGGGAUGCAAUGGAGAAGUUGAGCAGAACUAGAGGGACACCCAGCUGUGCUACUUUCUAGGUAUGGGCAGUCCUGCCUGCUCUCAGCAGCUUUUUCCCUGCUGGGUGCUGCCUGUGUGCUCAGUGCUGUGCAACACUGGUUGCUGCAGCACAAAAGGAACAAGAGGUCUGGUGCUCUCCUCUCUUUUUUUCUUCCCUUCUUUUUUUGCUGUGACUUGGAAAGAACAAAGUCAAGAGACUGCCAAAGCAGAGGAAAACAAGGCCAAGCACACACAGAUGGUGAGCCCACAAAUUUAAUUUAAAAUCAUCCUUUAUUAUUCAAAAUAUUAAAAUUCAGGCAAAA